Molecule: long non-coding RNA, 2543 nt
Organism: Pangasianodon hypophthalmus (striped catfish)
Lineage: Eukaryota; Metazoa; Chordata; Actinopteri; Siluriformes; Pangasiidae
Exons: 3
Source: RefSeq, a predicted model, not a curated record
AGCUCCACUGGUUUCUUCUCUGUUUGGAGUUUCAGCACUUCUAGGAGGAGGGAGGCUUUUCUCUCUGAGAGAUUUAUGGACCAGACUGCAGGAAGUGACUGGUAAACUGGCAGCAAUGCUGGAAGGACACUCCUGCCUGUGUUACUCUCAUACUGCCUUACAUAGUCAAAGCUGGAGAAAAAAAGUGAAAGAUUCACAUUAUUACAGUAAACAACAUAGAGAACAACACACACACACUCAGAGACGGAAGUGGAUUCAGAGACGGGUUACACGUGGACUUAAGCUGAUUUUCUCAGUGUGUCUUUCAGAUUAUUAACAUCACCUGCAUGUAGUUCACACUUCAGAGUUUUAUUGAAUAGAAGCGUCUGUGACAGGAUUUAACAAUAAUAACGUCUAGACCACUGCCUUUAAACACAAGCACUCACCUUUAGGGUAAAACAAAAAUCUUUUUUGGCCUUUUUUGCGUUCCUUUUUCCAUAUUGCUUACUUUAACAAGUUGCACUGUGUCUCGAGACUUCAGGUACAGAUCAAAUUAUAACAAGUUCAUAACCAUUAAAAUAAACAAUUUCACAAUAAAUGGAAUUAAAUCAAGAACAUUUAUGGAAGAAAAAAUGUUUAAAUUUCAGGAUAAAAUAUCAACUUUAAAAUUAUUUUUCAGUUUUUAAUGGAAUUUUAAUUUUAAUUUCUAAACAAAACUGAACUAAAUGAUGGGGGGGCGCUAGUGCGCAAGUGUAUGGAGUAGACGGAUUCAACUUUUGGAAAAUAAAUGUCUGGACCUGGCUAAAGCUAACAACCAACUGCAAGCUAAGGUUUACAACCUGGAGGCGCACUCCUGUAGAAACAACAUCAAAAUUGUGGGCAUACCUGAAGGAGAAGAAGAAGGCAAACCCACAGAAUUUGUUUCCAAGUUGAUUGCUAAAUUGUUUUCAAUGGAGCACUUCCCAAAGCUUGUGUCUAUUGACCGUGCGCAUCGCCUAUGGACUAUACAAACGUUGCACUGAUGCAACGCCGCACUUUUCGUGACGUGCUGCGAGCCCUGCGUAGUGUUGCCAACUAUUUUCAAUGGAAAUUAUUUUGAACGAAUCUUUAACGUGACUCGGGAAGAACGAGUCGUCUCGGGGAGUGAUUCGUUCAGUCGCCCAUGCGCAACAUCUAAUAGGUUCUGUACUGGAAUUAGUUCACCUGUUUCGAGUCUUCCAGUCUGAGUCGUUCGUUCAUCACGUGACAGCCCCAAUGGUUAAGCUUAUAGGGCUGUCACGUGAUGAACGAACGACUCAAACCCGAAGACUUGAGAGAUGAACUAAUCAAUUCUCUUUCUGGCUCAGACUGCACUGGUUAAGCUUAUAGGGCUGUCACGUGAUGAACGAACGACUCAAACCCGAAGACUUGUCAGGUAAGAGGUGAGGUGAGCUAAUCAUAGACUAAAGAUCCAGGUAAACAAUGAAUUAAUGUCUUCUGUUUAUUAUAGCAUUAUAGUUUUGUCUUGUUUGUAGUGUGAUCAACGUUUGCGUAAAUAGUAGUUGUGUUAGGGAAGUAACACGUAACAUUUUAAUUAUAUUUUGCUAAAAUGAACGAAAUGACUCGAAAAAAGAUUCAUUCAUUUUGCUGAACGAGACUCAAAGGUCCGAGUCGGUAAAAUGAUCCGAACUUCCCAUCACUAAUGGAAAGUAGCUAAACCCUGCUUGAAAAGAAGCUAAAUGUCGCUAAAUGACGUCAUGCGUCAUUAGCAUAUUAAUGACAUCAUCACGUCGUAUUUGCAUUCUGCGUAAUGUCGGCACUUCAUAACUGUUUUCUCCCCUAAUCCGUGCUCACAAACUGUUUUAAUAUAAAUAUAUAGCCGAAUGUCCAGUAAAGCUGUUCUCAAUUACAUAUUUUCUGUCAGGCAACGGAACGGAACUUACUACAUGUUAACCAGAAGUUACUUCCACAGCACUGAUAAAAUUCCGGUGAACCACGACGUCGUUGGACAAAACCACUAUACAUAUCACUCCAUGAGAAUGCUGAGACAGAAUUCAUCAUCAUCCACAAGAUCCAUACCCUCAGUGCUCUCCUCCUGUGGGGUGAUAUUGGAUGCAGAGGAUGAGCUAGAACCUGGACAGGACUUAAAUGAAUAAGCAGCUGAAGUGCCAAAGAGCUGCAGCACUUUAUCAGGCAGUUUGUGCUCAUAACAUGCAUCUCCAGCCAACCUCAAACCAUAUCUAAUAUACAGAAUAGAGCUGAGGGUCUGCAGGGACAUGUGGUUCCUGAGUUUGUUUUUAAUGACACCCAUUUGACUGAAAAGCCUCUCUACCUCAGCAUUUGAGUGUGGGAGGGAAAAGACAGAAACUGCAACAGAAGCCAAGUCUUCAUAUAGGUUUAUGCCUGCUGAAUCUCUAUACUUCUUAACUUCAGCCCAGAAUGCCAAAGUGUUUGUUGUUUCCUCCCAUUUCUGAAGGUGAAUAGACCUCCACUGAUUAAUAGUUUUAUCAGUUGUGGCCGGGCAAUAUCCUAACAGGUCUGCAAGUUUUGCCAUGUCUGUAAGGCUCUUGUUGUGGUUCAGUGUC